This 400-nucleotide ribosomal RNA is filed under the name uncultured bacterium. RNAcentral describes it as "bacterial SSU rRNA". It matches the Rfam family "Bacterial small subunit ribosomal RNA", at positions 355 to 772 of the family's 1533-position model. The record is from RNAcentral.
UGGGGAAUCUUGCACAAUGGGGGAAACCCUGAUGCAGCGACGCCGCGUGAGUGAUGAAGCCCUUCGGGGUGUAAAGCUCUUUCGGCAGGGACGAUAAUGACGGUACCUGAAGAAGAAGCUGCGGCUAACUACGUGCCAGCAGCCGCGGUAAUACGUAGGCAGCGAGCGUUGUUCGGAGUUACUGGGCGUAAAGCGUGCGUAGGCGGUGUCCUAAGUCUGGUGUGAAAUCUCCCGGCUCAACUGGGAGGGUGCGCUAGAAACUGGGGUGCUGGAGUGUGGGAGAGGUAAGCGGAAUUCCUGGUGUAGCGGUGAAAUGCGUAGAUAUCAGGAGGAACACCUGCGGUGUAGACGGCUUACUGGACCACUACUGACGCUGAGGCACGAAAGCGUGGGGAGCAAA